UGAAAGUUUGAUUCUUUCUUCUGCCUUUAUAAUUAUUAUUGAGAUUGCAUGAAAGUUGUUAGUAAGUAAAAAAAAGAAGUUUAAUAUGACAAAUAUAGAAAAAAGUAAAAUAUUUAGUGAGCUAUAAAAUCUCAGCAUAUAAAAUUAAACAAUUUACAAUUGUAAGAUUUAGUAAUAAAUUGAAAUCUGAUUAAAUAUUGUGCCAGCAGUCGCGGUUAGACUUAAAGGUUAAGUAAAGGAUUAUAAGGUUAAAUUAAAUAUAUAGUUAUUAAAAAGUUGAAAAAGUAAAAGGUGAAAUUAAGCUGCUUUAUUCGAUGAAUAUAUUUUAACUUAAAUUGAAGUUAAAGAUUAUUAGAAAUAAACUAGGAUUAGAUACCCUAUUAUACUAAUAAAUAUAAUAAACCUAAAUUACUAAUAGAUAUGUUCUUUAAACUUGAAGAAUUUGGCGGUGAUUUAGUCUUGUUAGAGGAACCUGUUUUUGAAUCGAUACACCACGUAGAAUCUUACUCAUUUUAAUAAGUUUGUAUACCGUCAUUAUCAGAUAAUUUUUAAAGAAUAAAUUAUUAAGGUUUCAGAAGUAAUAAGCAAGUUAAAUUAGAUCAAGGUGCAGCUAAUAAAUGAGUUAAAAUGGGUUACAAUAAAUUUUAUUUAUUAUGGAUUAAUCACAAGAAAUGGUGUUAAGAAGGUGGAUUUAAUUGUAAAGUGAGUUAAAUAAGCUUAUUAGAUAUUAGCUCUAAAUCAUGUACAUAUCGCCCGUCGCUCUCAUUAUAUAGAUGAGAUAAGUCGUAACAUAGUAGAUUUACUGGAAAGUAAAUCUAGUUUGAA
Molecule: non-coding RNA, 825 nt
Filed under: Etisus dentatus
Lineage: Eukaryota; Metazoa; Arthropoda; Malacostraca; Decapoda; Xanthidae
Source: RNAcentral